GAUGAACGCUAGCUACAGGCUUAACACAUGCAAGUCGAGGGGCAUCAGGAAGAAAGCUUGCUUUCUUUGCUGGCGACCGGCGCACGGGUGAGUAACACGUAUCCAACCUGCCCUUUACUCGGGGAUAGCCUUUCGAAAGAAAGAUUAAUACCCGAUGGCAUAAUGAUUCCGCAUGGUUUCAUUAUUAAAGGAUUCCGGUAAAGGAUGGGGAUGCGUUCCAUUAGGUUGUUGGUGAGGUAACGGCUCACCAAGCCUUCGAUGGAUAGGGGUUCUGAGAGGAAGGUCCCCCACAUUGGAACUGAGACACGGUCCAAACUCCUACGGGAGGCAGCAGUGAGGAAUAUUGGUCAAUGGGCGCUAGCCUGAACCAGCCAAGUAGCGUGAAGGAUGAAGGCUCUAUGGGUCGUAAACUUCUUUUAUAUAAGAAUAAAGUGCAGUAUGUAUACUGUUUUGUAUGUAUUAUAUGAAUAAGGAUCGGCUAACUCCGUGCCAGCAGCCGCGGUAAUACGGAGGAUCCGAGCGUUAUCCGGAUUUAUUGGGUUUAAAGGGAGCGUAGGUGGACUGGUAAGUCAGUUGUGAAAGUUUGCGGCUCAACCGUAAAAUUGCAGUUGAUACUGUCAGUCUUGAGUACAGUAGAGGUGGGCGGAAUUCGUGGUGUAGCGGUGAAAUGCUUAGAUAUCACGAAGAACUCCGAUUGCGAAGGCAGCUCACUGGACUGCAACUGACACUGAUGCUCGAAAGUGUGGGUAUCAAACAGGAUUAGAUACCCUGGUAGUCCACACAGUAAACGAUGAAUACUCGCUGUUUGCGAUAUACAGUAAGCGGCCAAGCGAAAGCAUUAAGUAUUCCACCUGGGGAGUACGCCGGCAACGGUGAAACCCAAAGGAAUUGACGGGGGCCCGCACAAGCGGAGGAACAUGUGGUUUAAUUCGAUGAUACGCGAGGAACCUUACCCGGGCUUAAAUUGCAGUGGAAUGAUGUGGAAACAUGUCAGUGAGCAAUCACCGCUGUGAAGGUGCUGCAUGGUUGUCGUCAGCUCGUGCCGUGAGGUGUCGGCUUAAGUGCCAUAACGAGCGCAACCCUUAUCUUUAGUUACUAACAGGUUAUGCUGAGGACUCUAGAGAGACUGCCGUCGUAAGAUGUGAGGAAGGUGGGGAUGACGUCAAAUCAGCACGGCCCUUACGUCCGGGGCUACACACGUGUUACAAUGGGGGGUACAGAAGGCAGCUAGCGGGUGACCGUAUGCUAAUCCCAAAAGCCUCUCUCAGUUCGGAUCGAAGUCUGCAACCCGACUUCGUGAAGCUGGAUUCGCUAGUAAUCGCGCAUCAGCCACGGCGCGGUGAAUACGUUCCCGGGCCUUGUACACACCGCCCGUCAAGCCAUGGGAGCCGGGGGUACCUGAAGUACGUAACCGCAAGGAUCGUCCUAGGGUAAAACUGGUGACUGGGGCUAAGUCAUAACAA
This 1463-nucleotide ribosomal RNA is filed under the name uncultured organism. RNAcentral's name for it is "SSU rRNA". It matches the Rfam family "Bacterial small subunit ribosomal RNA". The record is from RNAcentral.